RNAcentral lists this long non-coding RNA (713 nucleotides) under Bos taurus (domestic cattle). Its description in RNAcentral is "long non-coding RNA NONBTAT007530". The record is from RNAcentral. Lineage: Eukaryota; Metazoa; Chordata; Mammalia; Artiodactyla; Bovidae.
UUUUUUUAAACACAUCUUUACCAUUAAGAAUUCACAAUGUAACAGGUGAGAUAAGACAAAUAUAUUCAUAGUUAUUAUACAAAUAAAUAAAUACAAGCAUGAUCUAUAUGUCUAGAGCCUAUAGGAACUGAGCAAUAGGUUUAAGGUGAAAUUUACUUCAAUACAUAUUUUUUGAGGCUCUAUUUUCAAAAGACUGCUUUAGAGAAGUGCAUUUAUUGCAGGAAGAUUCUUUGUUGCCUUAACCUAGUGAGACAGAGAGGCAUGGAGAAAGAAAUGCUGAUGCUGGAAAGUGGACAGAGCAAAAUAAAAUUUUAAAACCAGAACUAAUUUUUAUUUUAAACCCAUUCUUUAUUUAAAUGCUACUCACAAGGCUGAAGAACUAACCAUACUGAAAUCAGAAAUGACUUUUAAGACUAAACUAAGCAUGUUGCAAAUGAUAACCAUCUUAAAGGUAAUAAUGUCUUUUCUUUCAAGAGCAGGCAGAAUUAUCCAAGCCUUUUUAGUAGUGGGCUACCCCAUUCCAUGGAAAAUAGAUUAUCCUAGCAAAGAAGAUUAGGAAGGGGAAAAGGAACUGGAAACUGGAAUAAGAAGCUUAAGUAGGUAAUGUCACACUAUACUCAAUCAGAUAAAAUCUCCCACUGAAGUAAAAUACCGUUUCAUGGCAAGCUACAGAGCCUGGGUUAUGACUCACUUGUAACAAAAUCUCUCCUAUG